This 828-nucleotide ribosomal RNA is filed under the name Amitus sp. OSUC 248145. RNAcentral describes it as "partial 28S ribosomal RNA". The stretch from base 403 to 828 matches the Rfam family "Eukaryotic large subunit ribosomal RNA", at positions 1 to 919 of the family's 3401-position model. Lineage: Eukaryota; Metazoa; Arthropoda; Insecta; Hymenoptera; Platygastridae. The record is from RNAcentral.
AACCCGAAAGAUUCGAAGGGGGGAGAUUCACCGCCAGUCGCGCGGUCGGCUUCUGCGAUUGGGUGUGAUGUGGCGUCGCUGCGUGCCGUGGUCCCUCGUGGGCUUCGCGCGCGUAUGCUGGCGUUGCACGCGCUCGCGUGGAUGAGCCCGGCUGCGUUGGCGUGCACUUCUCCUCCUUAGUAGGACGUCGCGACCCGCUGGGUGUCGUUUGAAGGGGCUUGCUUGGUGCCUCUGGUGUCUCGAGUUUCGUACGCGGGCUCGUACACCGGAACCGGCUUGCUUUGGAUCGACUGCCCGGCGGUAUGCAAUACGGUAUCGAGCCGCAGAGAGAUCUGCGUUCUGACCGUCGACCUUUUGCCUCGGUAGCCCGGAAAGUCGGUUUUAAUCGUCUCCGGAGCCAGGUGAUUUCGGCUCGUACGUGUCUCGAACUGGCUCCCAUAGCCGCGGGGCGUUUCGGCGCCCCCGGGAUACUCGUCAGCGACGCUAUUGCAUCGGGUACCCUCGGGACCCGUCUUGAAACACGGACCAAGGAGUCUAACAUGUGCGCGAGUCAAUGGGCUUGAUAACCCCAAAGGCGUAUUGAAAGAGAAGACGGUUUCGAGGACGUUCGCGUUCUCGUUCCGUGAUGGGAAGAUGGGCCGCGAAAAUGCUGGCGGCCCCGCACUCCCAGGGCGUCUCGUGCUCAUUGCGAGCUGAGGCGCACCUUGAGCGCACAUGCUGGGACCCGAAAGAUGGUGAACUAUGCCUGGCCAGGUCGAAGCCAGGGGAAACCCUGGUGGAGGACCGUAGCGAUUCUGACGUGCAAAUCGAUCGUCGGAGCUGGGUAUA